UAUAUUCUAUAGAAAAUAACUGAUUUAAUUCAAACACUUCACAACUUUUCGGUCAAACUUUAUAUAAAGGACAAGUACGAGUAUACCAUUUUACAUCCUUGUGUUUCAGGGUUAAGGUCCCAGUAUAUUUUGGACAUUUUUGACAUGUAUGGAUUACUCGACAGUUAUGAGACUACAGAAGAUGUUUACAGCUAGCAGCAUCUUACAUACAAUAUGGACCAGUGUAUGGGGAAAGAUGAUCACAUGUUUGACAUGCAGCAUUUUAUAAUGAUCCUGAUUAACUUCAACUAGCCGAAGACAAUAUCAGUGGAGGAGGCCAAAAGAGGCUAUCUAUAUUAAUUUUGGACAAAAAAUGUUGGAGAGAGCAGUUUUGAAUGAACAUUUUGUAGUGCUGGAGACAACAGCGGUUGGGAGCUUGUUCCACUCAACGAUGGUUCGGGGAAAGAAGAGUUGUUUUGUUGCAGAUUUUUAAGCUGAAUAUGUCAAAGUGUAUAUGAUACUGUAAAGUCCAAAUGGAAAGGUCCUUAAACAAAAUAUAUAACAGCACCAAAAUAAUCAAUACAUAAAGGAAUAAUGUACGGUUAUUACCAAAUGGCCAGGCGAUGAAUUCUUUCAUCAAAGCCAUGACAGCGUCGAUAACACAUGCGUUUGCCCUAGAGACGCUACUAACUGUGAUGUUGAACCGAUCGGCUAUUUCCCGAUGCGAAUCCUUAUUUGGCAUGCACCACGCAGUUACCAAAUCUGUUUCUCUAGUUUAAUGGGUUUCACGACCUUGCUCGUGAUUCAAAGGAACUUUGUGGCAUAAAUAAAAUUUAUUAAUACUGUAAUGAACAAGUAUAGUAGAGUUAACCAUGUUCGUGUUUAUAUGUGUAUGUUAUGUAUGAUCUGUAAAUAAACCACGUGUAAUCAUUGUCA
Long non-coding RNA from Pecten maximus, 915 nucleotides. RefSeq lists it as uncharacterized. NCBI's taxonomy places the organism in Eukaryota, Metazoa, Mollusca, Bivalvia, Pectinida, Pectinidae. The record is from RefSeq and is a predicted model, not a curated record. The transcript has 2 exons.